Chrysemys picta bellii (western painted turtle) is the source of this 1764-nucleotide long non-coding RNA. NCBI's taxonomy places the organism in Eukaryota, Metazoa, Chordata, Testudines, Emydidae. The record is from Ensembl.
CGUGAAUGCUACAGGGGAUGGCAGAGGUACGGAAGGGAGCCAGCGGCUUAUGCCUUUUAGGUAUAAAUCAGAUAAGGAGGCUGAUUAGCAAGUGUUGGGGUUUGCUACAAUAUUUGAGGGACUCCGUCAAUAACCUCCUUCCCUUUCUUCCCCAGCUAGGUGCAACGGCCUAAAAUUAGAUAGCUGAUGAAGGGAAGCUGCAGGUCGAUCUCAGCACACGUCUGGCUGGCAGCCUCUGGAAAUGUGAAGUAGCCCAAGAUAUCUUGGCGGGAUAUGGUGCCAAGCAAGUUGAAGAUAUCGAUGGAGGAAAUGAAGUGCAGGAGCACCGAAAACUGCCAGUUAUGUGUUGCAACUGUUACAGUUUGUAUGACAUUCGUGUCACGAGGCCCCAGUCAGGAUCUGAGCCCCAUUGUGCACAUUCCUGUCCAGCCAUUUCUUUUUUCCAUCUUGCUGCACUGUCAGAAUCGGUUGCACUUUUUUGUUUUCAGCUGUCACCCGGUCUCGCUGCCAUUGGAAUUGAAUUUAUCAGCUGUGUCACGGAGAUGUCGCCACAGAAAGAACUGCAAAUAGAAAAGGCUUUGUGCGCCAGGGCGAGCAGCUAAUGACUGGCCUGGGCGGCUAUGAGGAACGGCACUCCGCUGACAACCCGAAGGAAUUAUAAAGCCAUAGAGUGGCAUUGGUUAACCUCCCCGCCCCGUCGGAAAAAUACAGCUUCCCUUUUUUUGGGUCAAGUGAAUACAAUGCUGUGAUAGAAGCCAUCUUGACAACGCUGGGAACGGAAGGCGUGCGGAAUAGCUACAACCCAAGCAGUGACACAACUGGCUUGCCUGACAAUAGCUGCAGCUCCACACAGUGAGUGCCCAGGGGAAUGGUGGGUUUGGGGCUAUAGACACCGUGUCUACCAGGAACUAGACUGACACCACAAACUCAUUUCCCACUGUGGCUUGAACAGCCAUUCCCAUGGUGCCCCUGUGGAGACGUCUGACAGAAUAUAUACACAGGAGUGAACUUCAAUGGCCCAUGUUAUGCAAGAGUUCAGCGUAUAUGAUCAUAAUGGUCCCUGCUGGCCUAUGAAUAUAACUGGGAUGAAACCAAUAGCUUCCCAUAGACAUUGCUCUAAAAACCUAGGGUGAGAUUCUGUGCUCCGGGUCUUGAAUGUGCAGCACAGAAGUCACAGUCCAGGCUAGGGUGGCUUUAUCGCCCCUUCGCACUCUACUGAUACUGGGCGGACACAACUCUGGGUCCUGUCUAUGUUACAGCAGCCUCCUGAGGCCCCAGGAAUCUCUGCAGCCCUGCAUGAUACAGCUCAACUUGCCUCUCCUGCCUCUCCCCCUCCCUUGACACGCCCUCUAUGUGCUGUCUACAAGGGGUUCCUCAGAGCGUCUGCAGUGCCUGCACCAAGAGACUCCUUCCAUGGCUGGAGCUGGGGCUUUUAGGGUCCCUGGAUGCCGUUCCAUCCCUUUUACCUGGCAUCAAGCACCUGGAACCGGGGUGGGGAUCUCAACUUUACAGGGGAUGAGAUGCUUACCACAGAAUUUUUAAAGCAACCUAUUUUAUUUCACUAACAGAGAAUCACUUCCUUGCUGUGGAAUUCUAUAGGUUGGACAAAAAAUCCCAGAGAAAGCGUCUCUUUCUUUACUAAAUUCUACAGGACUUUUCCUUUAGGGAACAACUGAUGGCCGCUAACUCCUCAGAAACUGGCUAUCCCGGGUCUGUGAGCUUUGCAGACCUCUUCAAAAUAAAAUGAAGCAUUACUCUGAUGCA